RNAcentral lists this ribosomal RNA (253 nucleotides) under uncultured bacterium. Its description in RNAcentral is "partial 16S ribosomal RNA". It matches the Rfam family "Bacterial small subunit ribosomal RNA", at positions 524 to 776 of the family's 1533-position model. The record is from RNAcentral.
UACGUAGGGGGCAAGCGUUGUCCGGAUUCAUUGGGCGUAAAGCGCGGGCAGGCGGCCCGUUAAGUCGGCCGUGAAAGCGCCGGGCUCAACUCGGCGAGGACGGGCGAGACUGACGGGCUCGAGGUUGGCAGAGGGCGGUGGAAUUCCGGGUGUAGUGGUGGAAUGCGUAGAGCUCCGGAGGAACACCAGUGGCGAAGGCGGCCGCCUGGGCCAAUACUGACGCUGAGACGCGAAAGCGUGGGGAGCGAGCCGG